AACGAACGCUGGCGGCAUGCCUAACACAUGCAAGUCGAACGAUGACUUCGGGCAUCGUGCCGCACCGGUGCGUAACGCCUGGGAAUCUGCCAUUGGGUUCGGAACAACAGGGAGAAGUUGCUGCUAAUCCCGGAUGAUUUCUUCGGACCAAAGAUUUAUCGCCCAGGGAUGAGCCCGCGUAGGAUUAGCUAGUUGGUGGGGUAAUGGCCUACCAAGGCGACGAUCCUUAGCUGGUCUGAGAGGAUGAUCAGCCACACUGGGACUGAGACACGGCCCAGACUCCUACGGGAGGCAGCAGUGGGGAAUAUUGGACAAUGGGCGCAAGCCUGAUCCAGCAAUGCCGCGUGAGUGAUGAAGGCCUUAGGGUUGUAAAGCUCUUUUACCCGGGAUGAUAAUGACAGUACCGGGAGAAUAAGCUCCGGCUAACUCCGUG
RNAcentral lists this ribosomal RNA (433 nucleotides) under uncultured bacterium. Its description in RNAcentral is "partial 16S ribosomal RNA". It matches the Rfam family "Bacterial small subunit ribosomal RNA", at positions 29 to 507 of the family's 1533-position model. The record is from RNAcentral.